GACGAACGCUGGCGGCGUGCUUAACACAUGCAAGUCGAACGGAAAGGCCCUGCUUUUGUGGGGUGCUCGAGUGGCGAACGGGUGAGUAACACGUGAGUAACCUGCCCUUGACUUUGGGAUAACUUCAGGAAACUGGGGCUAAUACCCGAUAGGAGCUCCUGCUGCAUGGUGGGGGUUGGAAAGUUUCGGCGGUUGGGGAUGGACUCGCGGCUUAUCAGCUUGUUGGUGGGGUAGUGGCUUACCAAGGCUUUGACGGGUAGCCGGCCUGAGAGGGUGACCGGCCACAAUAGGACUGAGGUACGGCGCAGACGCCUACGGGAGGCAGCAGUGGGAAGUAUUGCACAAUGGGCGGGAGCCUGAUACAGCAACGCCGCGUGCGGGAUGCCGGCCUUCGGGUUGUAAACCGCUUUCGCCUGUGACGAGGCGUGAGUGACGGUACUGUGUAAAGAAGCACCGGCUAACUACGUG
This 468-nucleotide ribosomal RNA is filed under the name uncultured bacterium. RNAcentral describes it as "partial 16S ribosomal RNA". It matches the Rfam family "Bacterial small subunit ribosomal RNA", at positions 28 to 507 of the family's 1533-position model. The record is from RNAcentral.